UACGGAGGGUGCAAGCGUUGCUCGGAAUUAUUGGGCGUAAAGGGUAGGUAGGUGGUCUCAUUUGUCUGGGGUGAAAGCCUUGAGCUUAACUCAAGAAGUGCCCCAGAAACGGUGAGACUGGAGUCCUGGAGAGGGUCGUGGAAUUCCCGGUGUAGCGGUGAAAUGCGCAGAUAUCAGGAGGAACACCGGUGGCGAAGGCGGGUCUCUGGGCCGAUACUGACGCUGAGGAGCGAAAGCAUGGGUAGCGAACAGG
This 253-nucleotide ribosomal RNA is filed under the name uncultured bacterium. RNAcentral describes it as "partial 16S ribosomal RNA". It matches the Rfam family "Bacterial small subunit ribosomal RNA", at positions 524 to 776 of the family's 1533-position model. The record is from RNAcentral.